UUGUUUGUAUCAUUUAAAACUAUUCGAUAUAGAUAUGGAAUUAUGUAUACCUAUAUUAUAUUAUAUAAAUGAUCUGGACGACAAGACGAGUUGAAUUCCGUGUGACUGUCUGUCCGUGCAAUCGAUAACUUGAGUAAAAACAGAAAUAUCUAGAUGAAACUUUGUACAAGUAUUCCUGGGCACCCAUGGAAGGUUGGAAGUGAGAAGAGAAUAUUUUGAUUACAAUUAUGUCAAAAAUUAUGGAUAUCGGCACGCUUUUCUCGACAGUAGUAAUAUGAUUUGGUAUACAAAUCAAGCACUGAUGAAUGCAUCGGGAUAAAACUUUGUACGAAGAGUGCCUUAAAUAUGUGCCACGUAAUAAUAAAAAAAUGUCAAAAUCGAAAUACUGUUCAAGCCACCAGAUACCGAAUAUUUGGGCCUAAGGCGAACUUUUGAUUAAAAACAUCGGUCAAUCUGUGAGCUAAUAUACGAUUUUCAAACUUCCAGUUGGCCUUAUACCGUAUCGGUCAAUAUGUAAGAUAUCUUAGCAGCAUUAACUCCGCAUAUAUUAUUGAAUAUUCUAUAGUCCAAUACCGAGAAUAUGUGAAAUUUGUCUACAAAUAUCUCCGACUCCCAUAUACUACAUAUAAUGAUUUUCGUUAUUCUAAUAAAUCUCAUGCCGAAUAUGUCGGUCAGUGUGUGAGUUAUUAAUUUU
Bactrocera oleae (olive fruit fly) is the source of this 694-nucleotide long non-coding RNA. RefSeq lists it as uncharacterized. The record is from RefSeq and is a predicted model, not a curated record. Lineage: Eukaryota; Metazoa; Arthropoda; Insecta; Diptera; Tephritidae.